CGGGACACGUGGUAUCCUGUCUGAAUAUGGGGGGACCAUCCUCCAAGGCUAAAUACUCCUGACUGACCGAUAGUGAACCAGUACCGUGAGGGAAAGGCGAAAAGAACCCCGGCGAGGGGAGUGAAAAAGAACCUGAAACCGUGUACGUACAAGCAGUGGGAGCACGCUUAGGCGUGUGACUGCGUACCUUUUGUAUAAUGGGUCAGCGACUUAUAUUCUGUAGCAAGGUUAACCGAAUAGGGGAGCCGAAGGGAAACCGAGUCUUAACUGGGCGUUAAGUUGCAGGGUAUAGACCCGAAACCCGGUGAUCUAGCCAUGGGCAGGUUGAAGGUUGGGUAACACUAACUGGAGGACCGAACCGACUAAUGUUGAAAAAUUAGCGGAUGACUUGUGGCUGGGGGUGAAAGGCCAAUCAAACCGGGAGAUAGCUGGUUCUCCCCGAAAGCUAUUUAGGUAGCGCCUCGUGAAUUCAUCUCCGGGGGUAGAGCACUGUUUCGGCAAGGGGGUCAUCCCGACUUACCAACCCGAUGCAAACUGCGAAUACCGGAGAAUGUUAUCACGGGAGACACACGGCGGGUGCUAACGUCCGUCGUGAAGAGGGAAACAACCCAGACCGCCAGCUAAGGUCCCAAAGUCAUGGUUAAGUGGGAAACGAUGUGGGAAGGCCCAGACAGCCAGGAUGUUGGCUUAGAAGCAGCCAUCAUUUAAAGAAAGCGUAAUAGCUCACUGGUCGAGUCGGCCUGCGCGGAAGAUGUAACGGGGCUAAACCAUGCACCGAAGCUGCGGCAGCGACACUAUGUGUUGUUGGGUAGGGGAGCGUUCUGUAAGCCUGUGAAGGUGUACUGUGAGGUAUGCUGGAGGUAUCAGAAGUGCGAAUGCUGACAUAAGUAACGAUAAAGCGGGUGAAAAGCCCGCUCGCCGGAAGACCAAGGGUUCCUGUCCAACGUUAAUCGGGGCAGGGUGAGUCGACCCCUAAGGCGAGGCCGAAAGGCGUAGUCGAUGGGAAACAGGUUAAUAUUCCUGUACUUGGUGUUACUGCGAAGGGGGGACGGAGAAGGCUAUGUUGGCCGGGCGACGGUUGUCCCGGUUUAAGCGUGUAGGCUGGUUUUCCAGGCAAAUCCGGAAAAUCAAGGCUGAGGCGUGAUGACGAGGCACUACGGUGCUGAAGCAACAAAUGCCCUGCUUCCAGGAAAAGCCUCUAAGCAUCAGGUAACAUCAAAUCGUACCCCAAACCGACACAGGUGGUCAGGUAGAGAAUACCAAGGCGCUUGAGAGAACUCGGGUGAAGGAACUAGGCAAAAUGGUGCCGUAACUUCGGGAGAAGGCACGCUGAUAUGUAGGUGAAGUCCCUCGCGGAUGGAGCUGAAAUCAGUCGAAGAUACCAGCUGGCUGCAACUGUUUAUUAAAAACACAGCACUGUGCAAACACGAAAGUGGACGUAUACGGUGUGACGCCUGCCCGGUGCCGGAAGGUUAAUUGAUGGGGUUAGCGCAAGCGAAGCUCUUGAUCGAAGCCCCGGUAAACGGCGGCCGUAACUAUAACGGUCCUAAGGUAGCGAAAUUCCUUGUCGGGUAAGUUCCGACCUGCACGAAUGGCGUAAUGAUGGCCAGGCUGUCUCCACCCGAGACUCAGUGAAAUUGAACUCGCUGUGAAGAUGCAGUGUACCCGCGGCAAGACGGAAAGACCCCGUGAACCUUUACUAUAGCUUGACACUGAACAUUGAGCCUUGAUGUGUAGGAUAGGUGGGAGGCUUUGAAGUGUGGACGCCAGUCUGCAUGGAGCCGACCUUGAAAUACCACCCUUUAAUGUUUGAUGUUCUAACGUUGACCCGUGAUCCGGGUUGCGGACAGUGUCUGGUGGGUAGUUUGACUGGGGCGGUCUCCUCCUAAAGAGUAACGGAG
This 1901-nucleotide ribosomal RNA is filed under the name Escherichia coli. RNAcentral's name for it is "partial 23S ribosomal RNA". It matches the Rfam family "Bacterial large subunit ribosomal RNA", at positions 418 to 2305 of the family's 2925-position model. The record is from RNAcentral. Lineage: Bacteria; Pseudomonadati; Pseudomonadota; Gammaproteobacteria; Enterobacterales; Enterobacteriaceae.